This 343-nucleotide unclassified non-coding RNA is filed under the name soil metagenome. RNAcentral describes it as "partial contains 5.8S ribosomal RNA, internal transcribed spacer 2, and large subunit ribosomal RNA". The stretch from base 1 to 120 matches the Rfam family "5.8S ribosomal RNA", at positions 35 to 154 of the family's 154-position model. The record is from RNAcentral.
GAUGAAGAACGUAGCGAAAUGCGAUAAGUAAUGUGAAUUGCAGAAUUCAGUCAAUCAUCGAAUCUUUGAACGCACAUUGCGCCCGCCAGCAUUCUGGCGGGCAUGCCUGUUCGAGCGUCAUUUCAACCCUCGAGCCCCCCCGGGGGCCUCGGUGUUGGGGGACGGCACACCAGCCGCCCCCGAAAUGCAGUGGCGACCCCGCCGCAGCCUCCCCUGCGUAGUAGCACACACCUCGCACCGGAGCGCGGAGGCGGUCACGCCGUAAAACGCCCAACUUUCUUAGAGUUGACCUCGGAUCAGGUAGGAAUACCCGCUGAACUUAAGCAUAUCAAUAAGCGGAGGA